GGAGUGAGCUGCAGAAGACAGUGGAAGACCGGUGGGCUCGUGGGAGAACCUCCAGAGGUUCCCAGCAAUAACCGGUUGCAGUUUACAAGCGAUUCACACCCAGAGCAUCAGUGAACCCUAAGACCCUUGGCCAACUCCAAAGGAAGCUCACGGCUAGAGACGCUGGUGGUGGAGAACUUGGUUGUCCUCUGAGAGAAAAACUAGUAAGAAGAAUCCACGCAUAAUGGAGUUUAGCAUCUGUGAUUGUGAAACCUAAC
Balaenoptera ricei (Rice's whale) is the source of this 257-nucleotide long non-coding RNA. RefSeq lists it as uncharacterized. The transcript has 3 exons. The record is from RefSeq and is a predicted model, not a curated record. NCBI's taxonomy places the organism in Eukaryota, Metazoa, Chordata, Mammalia, Artiodactyla, Balaenopteridae.